UACGUAGGGGGCAAGCGUUGUCCGGAAUCACUGGACGUAAAGCGCGCGCAGGCGGUCAUCUACGUCUGGGGUGAAAGCCCGGAGCUCAACUCCGGGAUUGCCUUGGAUACGGGAUGACUUGAGGAUCGGAGAGGCAAGGGGAAUUCCACGUGUAGCGGUGAAAUGCGUAGAGAUGUGGAGGAACACCUGUGGCGAAGGCGCCUUGCUGGCCGAUUUCUGACGCUGAGGCGCGAAAGCGUGGGGAGCAAACAGG
This 253-nucleotide ribosomal RNA is filed under the name uncultured bacterium. RNAcentral's name for it is "partial 16S ribosomal RNA". It matches the Rfam family "Bacterial small subunit ribosomal RNA", at positions 524 to 776 of the family's 1533-position model. The record is from RNAcentral.